GACGUAGGGAGCAAGCGUUGUCCGGAAUUACUGGGCGUAAAGAGCUCGUAGGCGGGAGCGUGCGUCUGACAGGAAAUCUCAGGGCUCAACUCUGGGGCUUUUUCAGAUACGGCGCUUCUUGAGUGUAACAGAGGAAAGCAGAAUUCCCGGUGUAGCGGUGAAAUGCGUAGAUAUCGGGAGGAAUACCAGUGGCGAAGGCGGCUUUCUGGGUUACCACUGACGCUGAGGAGCGAAAGCGUGGGGAGCAAACAGG
This 253-nucleotide ribosomal RNA is filed under the name uncultured bacterium. Its description in RNAcentral is "partial 16S ribosomal RNA". It matches the Rfam family "Bacterial small subunit ribosomal RNA", at positions 524 to 776 of the family's 1533-position model. The record is from RNAcentral.